GAUCAUGGCUCAGGACGAACGCUGGCGGCGCGCCUAACACAUGCAAGUCGAACGAGCGAGAGAGAGUUUACUUUUUCGAGCGAGUGGCGAACGGGUGAGUAACGCGUGAGGAACCUGCCUCAAAGAGGGGGACAACAGUUGGAAACGACUGCUAAUACCGCAUAAGCCCACGACCCGGCAUCGGGUAGAAGGAAAAGGAGCAAUCCGCUUUGAGAUGGCCUCGCGUCCGAUUAGCUAGUUGGUGAGGUAACGG
This 253-nucleotide ribosomal RNA is filed under the name uncultured bacterium. RNAcentral describes it as "partial 16S ribosomal RNA". It matches the Rfam family "Bacterial small subunit ribosomal RNA", at positions 15 to 263 of the family's 1533-position model. The record is from RNAcentral.